This 231-nucleotide ribosomal RNA is filed under the name Strumigenys perparva. RNAcentral describes it as "partial large subunit ribosomal RNA". Lineage: Eukaryota; Metazoa; Arthropoda; Insecta; Hymenoptera; Formicidae. The record is from RNAcentral.
GAAUUUAAUAUAAUUAUUUAUGAGAAAUUAAUUAAUUAAUAAGUAUGAGAAUAAAUAGUUAUAAUUUAGUUGGGAGGACUUUUAAAUUAAAAUAACUUUAAAUAUUUUAAGUAAUAUAUAAAUUAAUAUGUAAAGAAUUUUUAGAGUGAUUAGUAUAUUAAUUAAGAAUUAAUUACCUUAGGGAUAACAGCGUAAUAUUUUUAUAAAGAUCUUAUUAAUAAGAAUGAUUGC